Molecule: unclassified non-coding RNA, 344 nt
Filed under: soil metagenome
Description: partial contains 5.8S ribosomal RNA, internal transcribed spacer 2, and large subunit ribosomal RNA
Rfam family: 5.8S ribosomal RNA (bases 1-120)
Source: RNAcentral
GAUGAAGAACGUAGUGAAAUGCGAUAAGUAAUGUGAAUUGCAGAAUUCAGUGAAUCAUCGAAUCUUUGAACGCACAUUGCGCCCCUUGGUAUUCCGGGGGGCAUGCCCGUUCGAGCGUCAUUACACCCAUCAAGCCCGGCUUGGUCUUGGGCGACGGGGGGGGGGGGACACACCCCGCCCGCGCCCCCAUUCCCCCCUCGGCGGGACGGUCGGAAGCCUGCAGCGUUGCGACACCCGUUCGCUCCGGAGGACCGCCGCCCGCGCCGUUAAACUCUUUCAUCACAGGUUGACCUCGGAUCGGGUAGGGAUACCCGCUGAACUUAAGCAUAUCAAUAAGCGGAGGA